UUCAUUCGCGAUAGUAAUGACGAAAACCAAGCAGACUAAACGAAAACCCUCAAAUCAGGCGCCGGCGCCGGCGCCGGCUGCGGAGCCGCCGUCUCCAACUCCCAAAAUCCACAAAAAAAUCAAAAAGCAGAAGAAAUCCAAGCCCCCUAAACCCGUAGUCCAUGUUUCUGAAUCUGGUUCGGAUUCAGAUUCAGAUUCUGUUCCAGCUUCGGACCCCAGCACCGAAAUCCAAACCCUACUAGAGCCUUUCUCCAAGGAGCAGCUCAUCUCUCUCGUCAUCGAGCUCUCCUCUUCCGACGACCACAUCCUCUCCCUCGUCAAAGCCGCCGCCGACCAGGACAUCGGCCACCGCAAAAUCUUCAUCCACGGCCUCGGCUGGGACGCCACCCGCGAGUUAGUCGAGUCUAUUUUUGGGGAUUACGGCGAGAUUGAGGAUCUCAAUGUGGUCGCUGAUAGGGAAACCGGGAAAUGCAAGGGUUACGCUUUCCUCACCUUCAAAUCAUUCAAAUCUGUGAAAAAAUUGUUGAAAAACCCCAGGGUUCAGGUCGGAAACCGUUUGACCUCGUGCCAGCUGGCGUCGGAGGGCCCACUGGGCCCUGCCGCCGCCGGGAUAGUCUCGCAGAAGCAAUUCUCCGCGUCAGAUUACCCGCAGCGGAAGAUUUACGUGAGUAACGUGCCGCUGAAUGCGAGCCCGGAGAGGCUGCUGGCGUUUUUUGAAAAAUUUGGGGAAAUUGAGAGCGGGCCGAAGGGGAUGGAUCCGGAGACGGGGAGAUUCAAAGGCUAUGCGAUUUUCGUGUUUAAGACGUUGGAGGGGGCUAAGAAGGUGUUGGAGGAUCCGGUUAAGUUUUUCGAAGGGGGUCAGCUGCAUUGCAAGAAGGCGGCGGAGGGGAAGGGUCAGGUGGCUAGUGGAGCAGCGUCGAUAACGACUGCUCUGCAGCCGGUGCAGCCGCAGAUGCUGGCUGCGGUGGCGGCGGCUCAGCAGGUGCAGAAUAUGGCUUUGCUGGGGCAGCAGGCUGGGCUUGUGAAUCCGUUGUAUGGUGGUGGUUUGAUUGGUAAUGCGAACUUGGGUGGGUAUUAUGGGAUGCUCGGGGGCGGGCAGGGCUUGGGGUUAGGGGCCUAUGGCGUUUCUGGUGGUGGAAAUAGUGUUCCGGGAUUAGGUGCUUAUGGCGUUUCUAGUGGUGGCAGUAGUGUGCCAGGGUUAGGUGCGUACGGUGUUUCUGGUAGUGGCAAUAGUGUGCCGGGAUUAGGUGCGUACGGUGUUUCUGGUAGUGGCAAUAGUGUGCCGGGAUUAGGUGCCUAUGGUGUAUCCGGUGGUGGCAGUAGUGUUCCGGGAUUAGGCACAUACGGUGUAUCUGGUGGUGGUAAUAGUGUGACGAGUGGGGCGAUGCUUCAGGGAGUGCAAUUUGCUUAUCCAGGUUUGCAGAAUGGAAAAUCUUCUUCGACCUUGCCUAAGACUCCAGGGGCUGGUGGAAGCAGUUACUCUCAAAAACAAUGAUGUAUAAUGGCGUAGAUGGACAAACAGAAGUUGGUAACAUUACCAUUUCUUGGGUCAGGGUUUGACUCAUUGAAUAUGCUUUCAUUACUUUUCCGUGUUGAUGGCUCAUGUUUACAAACUCACUCUUGCUUCAAAUUAGCUGAGUUACACUACUCUUGGACGGAUUGCUUCUUUGUUUGUUUUUUCCCUUCUUUCUUGCCUUCGAGAAUUUGUUACAGAUUCUCUUUUGAGAGAUCCAUGAGCCACUCGUUUCUACUGCCCCGGACUUGGAUUUGGGCAUUUUUUCAGCUCAUGUUCGAUUUUGCUUAAAUUUUAACUCAUUUCGUAGAAGGGCAAAAGGGUUAAAAGUUUCUCAUGGCAAUUGGUACUGUACAAUGAAUUUCUGGCAAUCAAUUUAACGAAUUGCCCGUCACUGUGUCAAGGCGGGCGUGCGAGUUGGUUAACUUCUUCCUCGUGUAAGGUUUGAUUUUUCCUUGAAAUUGAAGUAUGUUGGUCUUGUAGUGAAAGAGUUGUAAGGUAGUAUAUGUAUCACAUUCAGGGUGAAAAUAUGAGCAUUUUAUUAAUACUA
Molecule: RNA transcript, 2063 nt
Organism: Salvia splendens (bonfire salvia)
Lineage: Eukaryota; Viridiplantae; Streptophyta; Magnoliopsida; Lamiales; Lamiaceae
Gene name: RNA-binding protein P
Exons: 3
Source: RefSeq, a predicted model, not a curated record